CCGGGCUUAACCUGGGAAAUGGCAUUUGUGACUGGAAGGCUAGAGUGUGUCAGAGGGGGGGUAGAAUUCCACGUGUAGCAGUGAAAAUGCGUAGAGAUGUGGAGGAAUACCGAUGGCGAAGGCAGCCCCCUGGGAUAACACUGACGCUCAUGCACGAAAGCGUGGGGAGCAAACAGGAUUAGAUACCCUGGUAGUCCACGCCCUAAACGAUGUCUACUAGUUGUCGGGUCUUAAUUGACUUGGUAACGCAGCUAACGCGUGAAGUAGACCGCCUGGGGAGUACGGUCGCAAGAUUAAAACUCAAAGGAAUUGACGGGGACCCGCACAAGCGGUGGAUGAUGUGGAUUAAUUCGAUGCAACGCGAAAAACCUUACCUACCCUUGACAUGGCUGGAAUCCUUGAGAGAUCAGGGAGUGCUUGAAAGAGAACCAGUACACAGGUGCUGCAUGGCUGUCGUCAGCUCGUG
RNAcentral lists this ribosomal RNA (466 nucleotides) under uncultured Glaciimonas sp. RNAcentral describes it as "bacterial SSU rRNA". It matches the Rfam family "Bacterial small subunit ribosomal RNA", at positions 603 to 1064 of the family's 1533-position model. Lineage: Bacteria; Pseudomonadati; Pseudomonadota; Betaproteobacteria; Burkholderiales; Oxalobacteraceae. The record is from RNAcentral.